This is a long non-coding RNA of Lynx canadensis (Canada lynx), 155 nucleotides long. RefSeq lists it as uncharacterized. The transcript has 3 exons. NCBI's taxonomy places the organism in Eukaryota, Metazoa, Chordata, Mammalia, Carnivora, Felidae. The record is from RefSeq and is a predicted model, not a curated record.
UGUGCUCUUUCGAUCAACCGAAGUUUGGAGGUAGACGAGCAGGCGAGCGGUUUGCCCGGGCGCAGAGCAUGAAGGCCGGGCGGGCGCGGGGAGCGGGCGCCCGCCGCCCGGCGCGGGGGUGAGCGAGAGAGAGAGCGGAGCGCGUGUGGCCGGCG